GACGAACGCUGGCGGCGUGCUUAACACAUGCAAGUCGAACGGAAAGGCCCUGCUUUUGUGGGGUGCUCGAGUGGCGAACGGGUGAGUAACACGUGAGUAACCUGCCCUUGACUGUGGGAUAACUUCAGGAAACUGGGGCUAAUACCGGAUAGGAGCUCCUGCUGCAUGGUGGGGGUUGGAAAGUUUCGGCGGUUGGGGAUGGACUCGCGGCUUAUCAGCUUGUUGGUGGGGUAGUGGCUUACCAAGGCUUUGACGGGUAGCCGGCCUGAGAGGGUGACCGGCCACAUUGGGACUAAGAUACGGCCCAGACUACUACGGGAGGCAGCAGUGGGGAAUAAUGCACAAUAAGCGGAAGCCUGAUGCAGCAACGACGCGUCCGGGAUGACGGCCUUCGGGUUGUCAUCCGCUUUCGCCUGUGACGAAGCGUGAGUGACGGUAAUGGGUAAAGAAGCACCGGCUAACUACGUG
RNAcentral lists this ribosomal RNA (468 nucleotides) under uncultured bacterium. Its description in RNAcentral is "partial 16S ribosomal RNA". It matches the Rfam family "Bacterial small subunit ribosomal RNA", at positions 28 to 507 of the family's 1533-position model. The record is from RNAcentral.